RNAcentral lists this ribosomal RNA (549 nucleotides) under uncultured bacterium. RNAcentral's name for it is "partial 16S ribosomal RNA". It matches the Rfam family "Bacterial small subunit ribosomal RNA", at positions 355 to 895 of the family's 1533-position model. The record is from RNAcentral.
UGGGGAAUUUUGGACAAUGGGCGAAAGCCUGAUCCAGCAAUGCCGCGUGUGUGAAGAAGGCCUUCGGGUUGUAAAGCACUUUUGUCCGGAAAGAAAUCCUUGGCUCUAAUACAGUCGGGGGAUGACGGUACCGGAAGAAUAAGCACCGGCUAACUACGUGCCAGCAGCCGCGGUAAUACGUAGGGUGCAAGCGUUAAUCGGAAUUACUGGGCGUAAAGCGUGCGCAGGCGGUUUGCUAAGACCGAUGUGAAAUCCCCGGGCUCAACCUGGGAACUGCAUUGGUGACUGGCAGGCUAGAGUAUGGCAGAGGGGGGUAGAAUUCCACGUGUAGCAGUGAAAUGCGUAGAGAUGUGGAGGAAUACCGAUGGCGAAGGCAGCCCCCUGGGCCAAUACUGACGCUCAUGCACGAAAGGCGUGGGGGAGCAAACAGGAUUAGAUACCCUGGUAGUCCACGCCCUAAACGAUGUCAACUAGUUGUUGGGGAUUCAUUUCCUUAGUAACGUAGCUAACGCGUGAAGUUGACCGCCUGGGGAGUACGGUCGCAAGAUU